Molecule: ribosomal RNA, 196 nt
Filed under: uncultured bacterium
Lineage: Bacteria
Description: partial 16S ribosomal RNA
Rfam family: Bacterial small subunit ribosomal RNA
Source: RNAcentral
GCAACUCGACUGCGUGAAGGUGGAGUCGCUAGUAAUCGCGGAUCAGCAACGCCGCGGUGAAUGCGUUCCCGGGCCUUGUACACACCGCCCGUCAAGUCAUGAAAGUGGGCAGCACCCGAAGACGGUGGCCUAACCCUUGUGGGGGGAGCCGUCUAAGGUGAGGCUCGUGAUUGGGACUAAGUCGUAACAAGGUAUC